RNAcentral lists this ribosomal RNA (253 nucleotides) under uncultured bacterium. RNAcentral's name for it is "partial 16S ribosomal RNA". It matches the Rfam family "Bacterial small subunit ribosomal RNA", at positions 524 to 776 of the family's 1533-position model. The record is from RNAcentral.
UACAUGGGGUGCAAACGUUGCUCGGAAUCAUUGGGCGUAAAGCGCGCGUAGGCGGUUACUUAAGUCGAAUGUGAAAGCCCUCGGCUUAACCGAGGAAGUGCAUCCGAAACUGAGUAGCUAGAGUACGAAAGAGGGUCGCGGAAUUCCCGGUGUAGAGGUGAAAUUCGUAGAUAUCAGGAGGAACACCUACGGCGAAGGCAGCUCGCUGGGACGGUACUGACGCUGAGACGCGAAAGCGUGGGGAGCAAACAGG